RNAcentral lists this ribosomal RNA (700 nucleotides) under Enterobacter sp. RS-BIG-37. Its description in RNAcentral is "bacterial SSU rRNA". It matches the Rfam family "Bacterial small subunit ribosomal RNA", at positions 81 to 777 of the family's 1533-position model. The record is from RNAcentral. Lineage: Bacteria; Pseudomonadati; Pseudomonadota; Gammaproteobacteria; Enterobacterales; Enterobacteriaceae.
CUCUCGGGUGACGAGUGGCGGACGGGUGAGUAAUGUCUGGGAAACUGCCUGAUGGAGGGGGAUAACUACUGGAAACGGUAGCUAAUACCGCAUAACGUCGCAAGACCAAAGAGGGGGACCUUCGGGCCUCUUGCCAUCAGAUGUGCCCAGAUGGGAUUAGCUAGUAGGUGGGGUAACGGCUCACCUAGGCGACGAUCCCUAGCUGGUCUGAGAGGAUGACCAGCCACACUGGAACUGAGACACGGUCCAGACUCCUACGGGAGGCAGCAGUGGGGAAUAUUGCACAAUGGGCGCAAGCCUGAUGCAGCCAUGCCGCGUGUAUGAAGAAGGCCUUCGGGUUGUAAAGUACUUUCAGCGGGGAGGAAGGUGUUGUGGUUAAUAACCGCAGCAAUUGACGUUACCCGCAGAAGAAGCACCGGCUAACUCCGUGCCAGCAGCCGCGGUAAUACGGAGGGUGCAAGCGUUAAUCGGAAUUACUGGGCGUAAAGCGCACGCAGGCGGUCUGUCAAGUCGGAUGUGAAAUCCCCGGGCUCAACCUGGGAACUGCAUUCGAAACUGGCAGGCUAGAGUCUUGUAGAGGGGGGUAGAAUUCCAGGUGUAGCGGUGAAAUGCGUAGAGAUCUGGAGGAAUACCGGUGGCGAAGGCGGCCCCCUGGACAAAGACUGACGCUCACGUGCGAAAGCGUGGGGAGCAAACAGGA